Molecule: long non-coding RNA, 421 nt
Filed under: Homo sapiens (human)
Lineage: Eukaryota; Metazoa; Chordata; Mammalia; Primates; Hominidae
Description: non-protein coding lnc-WDR73-5:12
Source: RNAcentral
AGGUGGCAUUUUUCAACUCCGCUGGAGCCAGUGCCCAGGAGGAACAAAGGGUGUGCUGCCAGCCCCUGGCUCACCCAGUGGCCUCGUCCCAGAAGAAGCCAGAGGUAGCGGCCCCAGCCCCAGAGAGUGGGGGUGAGUCUGUGUUUGGGGAGACCCACCGGGCCCUGCAGGGGGCCAUGGAGAAGCUGCAGGUGAGUAGGUCCUGGCAUGGGCCAACAAGGGGGGCGGUGGGGCAGGACAAGGCAGGUGACUCCUGACAUGUGACCCCAUUAUUUUGGCUCCACAGCGACUUUAUGGAAGGAGAAGGUGGACCUGAAGGAGCGGGUAGAGAAACUAGAGCUUCAAUUCAUCCACCUCUCAGGACAGACAGACACCAUAGAAAGUACAUCAGCCAGGGGGCAGUGUCAGAGACGCAGCACUG